CUGGCAGAGAUGUGGAAGUGCUCGAAAGAGAACUUGAACACAGGUGCUGCAUGGCCGUCGUCAGCUCGUGUCGUGAGAUGUUGGGUUAAGUCCCGCAACGAGCGCAACCCUUGUCAUUAGUUGCUACAUUCAGUUGGGCACUCUAAUGAGACUGCCGGUGACAAGCCGGAGGAAGGUGGGGAUGACGUCAAGUCCUCAUGGCCCUUAUAGGUGGGGCUACACACGUCAUACAAUGGCUGGUACAAAGGGUUGCCAACCCGCGAGGGGGAGCCAAUCCCAUAAAGCCAGUCGUAGUCCGGAUCGUAGUCUGCAACUCGACUACGUGAAGUCGGAAUCGCUAGUAAUCGUGGAUCAGAAUGUCACGGUGAAUACGUUCCCGGGUCUU
This 385-nucleotide ribosomal RNA is filed under the name uncultured Rhodoferax sp. RNAcentral's name for it is "bacterial SSU rRNA". It matches the Rfam family "Bacterial small subunit ribosomal RNA", at positions 997 to 1382 of the family's 1533-position model. Lineage: Bacteria; Pseudomonadati; Pseudomonadota; Betaproteobacteria; Burkholderiales; Comamonadaceae. The record is from RNAcentral.